This 288-nucleotide ribosomal RNA is filed under the name Serratia symbiotica. RNAcentral describes it as "partial 16S ribosomal RNA". It matches the Rfam family "Bacterial small subunit ribosomal RNA", at positions 24 to 308 of the family's 1533-position model. Lineage: Bacteria; Pseudomonadati; Pseudomonadota; Gammaproteobacteria; Enterobacterales; Yersiniaceae. The record is from RNAcentral.
UCAGAUUGAACGCUGGCGGCAGGCCUAACACAUGCAAGUCGAGCGGUAGCACAAGAGAGCUUGCUCUCUGGGUGACGAGCGGCGGACGGGUGAGUAAUGUCUGGGAAACUGCCUGANGGCGGGGGAUAACUAGUGGAAACGGUAGCUAAUACCGCAUAANGUNGCAAGACCAAAGUGGGGGACCUUCGGGCCUCACGCCAUCAGAUGUGCCCAGGUGGGAUUAGCUGGUAGGUGGGGUAACGGCUCACCUAGGCGACGAUCCCUAGCUGGUCUGAGNGGAUGACCAGC